RNAcentral lists this ribosomal RNA (468 nucleotides) under uncultured bacterium. RNAcentral's name for it is "partial 16S ribosomal RNA". It matches the Rfam family "Bacterial small subunit ribosomal RNA", at positions 28 to 507 of the family's 1533-position model. The record is from RNAcentral.
GACGAACGCUGGCGGCGUGCUUAACACAUGCAAGUCGAACGGAAAGGCCCUGCUUUUGUGGGGUUCUCGAUUGGCGAACGGGUGAGUAACACGUGAGUAACCUGCCCUUGACUUUGGGAUAACUUCAGGAAACUGGGGCUAAUACCGGAUAGGAGCUCCUGCUCCAUGGUGGGCGUUGGAAAGUUUCGGCGGUUGGGGAUGGACUCGCGGCUUAUCAGCUUGUUGGUGGGGUAGUGGCUUACCAAGGCUGUGACGGGUAGCCGGCCUGAGAGGGUGACCGGCCACAUUGGGACUGAGGUACGGCCCAGACUCGUACGGGAGGCAGCAGUGGGGAAUAUUGCACAAUGGGCGGAAGCCUGAUGCAGCAACGCCGCGUGCGGGAAGACGGCCUUCGGGGUGUAAACCGCUUUCGCCUGUGACGAAGCGUGAGUGACGGUAAUGGGUAAAGAAGCACCGGCUAACUACGUG